Molecule: RNase P RNA, 409 nt
Filed under: Pseudoflavonifractor sp. 60
Lineage: Bacteria; Bacillati; Bacillota; Clostridia; Eubacteriales; Oscillospiraceae
Description: RNase P RNA component class A
Rfam family: Bacterial RNase P class A
About the family: Ribonuclease P (RNase P) is a ubiquitous endoribonuclease, found in archaea, bacteria and eukarya as well as chloroplasts and mitochondria.
Source: RNAcentral
GCAGUAAGCUGGACAGUCGCGCAGGCGGGGCGAAAGGCCUGUCUGUGAGGAAAGUCCGGGCUCCAUAGGGCAAGGAUAACGGGUAACACCCGCCGGGGGCGACCCUAGGACAAGUGCAACAGAGAUAUACCGCCUCUCCCGUCUACAGAUGGGUGUGGGCAGCGGGACUGCCGCCUUUUGCGGACGUCAACGCGCCUGCGUUGAGGUAAGGGUGGAAAGGCGAGGUAAGAGCUCACCCGAUGGCGUGGAAGCGCCCAUCGCUGUAAACUCUAUCUGGAGCAACGCCGUGGAGGGACACGAAGGCCGGCCCGGCCGUCCCGGGGAGGCGGCUUGAGCGCGUCAGUAAUGGCGCGUCGAGAUAGAUGGCUGUCUUAAAAGACAGAACCCGGCUUACAGGCUUACUGCAGCA